AUGGAGACCGGGAAGGCGGCGGUGCCGCCCAGGGCGACCAGCGGGCGGAGGUACAAGGCGCUCACGCCGUGGCGCUUCCAGCGCGGCUUCGUCAGGUACCAGGCCAAGACCCCCGCCGCCGCCGCCGCCGCGCCCAGAGGCCGCGCCGGGGCGCCGGCGGGCGGUUCUGGCACCAAACGUCCCAGAUCGUCGUCGGUGGUGGGGAGCGGCGGCCGUAGCGCGGGAGAUCCGAUGGACGGCCAGUCGAAGAAGAGAAGCACGCGCAGUGCGACCAUGAAGAGGACCGAUGGGGAGAACAGCGCGCGCAGCGCAGGUGCUGGAAAGGAUAGCCAGUUGAGGAGAAGCACGCGCAGCGCGACCAUGAAGAACCCCGGUGCUGAAAUGGAUUGCCUGUUGAGAAGAGCCACACGCAGUGCGACUGCCAAGAGCUCCGAUGGGGUUAAAAUGGAGAACGGCGCCUGCAGCGGUGCCGGAAAGGAUUUCCCAUUGAAGAGACACACACGCAGUACGGCUGCGAACAGCUCCCAUGCUAUUAAAAUGGAGAACGACUCUUCUAGCAGUGCUGGAAAGGAUUUCCAAAUAAAGAGAGGCACACACAGAGUGACCACGAGGAGCUCCAAUGGGGAGAAAAUGGAUAACAAUGCUCGCACCGGUGCUGAAAUGGAUUGUGGUUUGGGCAAGUCCAGCUGCAAUAUUAUGGGUGAUGGGUUGGCCAACGCUGCUGGAGGAGAUUGCAGAGUGACCACGAGGAGCACCAAUGGGGAGAAAAUGGAUAACAAUGCUCGCACCGGUGCCGAAAUGGAUUGUGGUUUGGGCAAGUCCAGCUGCAAUAUUAUGGGUGAUGGGUUGGCCAACGCUGCUGGAGGAGAUUGCUGUUUUGAGGGGCCAGACUACAGCGGUGUCCUGAGAGAUGAACAUGUCCAGAAUUUUGGGACUGGCGGCAGCGUUGAUGCUGGUGAUGGGGCAGCUUGCAUCCCAGAGGGGAUUCAGAGUAAUGUAGGAGCUGAGAACUGUGAGUCUGAGGGUUCGGAGAAGUCCCGUGUGACCGGGAAUGUGUUAAAGAGCAACGUUUCUUCUGCUGCAGAUCAUGUGCUGGAGCAGCCGGAGGGAAAAGGUGCUAACACGGGAAAUGGGGCUUCCAAGGAGAGUGAUGUAGCAGCCAAAGGGUGCAGCUCUGCAGUUCCUGGAAGCAAUGCUAAUGGCCCAAAUUGCCGCAGAGGGCGGAAAGAAAUAGUGCCAUGGAGGUUCCAGAUCGGGUACAAGCGGUCAUUCUCGAAAGCUUUCUGCUCCAAUGGUGGAUCACUUGAAACUCCGGAAUACAGGGCUCAGGGCAGCUCAACACAGUGCACUCCAGGAACUAGAAGUACUGUGAGGUGCUAUGCAAGCCCCCUUUCAAAUGUUCGAGUUUCGGCCGUGCGUGAUUUCUCCUCAGGGAAAGGCGAGAAGGAAACCCGAACAGCAUAUAAAAAGGUGAAAACUGAGAAGGAUGAUGAUAAUCAGGGAAUGCCAAAAAAUGGAGUUGCCCUUGCUAGGGAGAAAGCAAUCAGAUCCUUGCGAGAUUUCCGCUUAAUUUACAAGAAUCUUUUGAAUAAGCUUGAAGACAGGUCACGGGAAGGAGGAGCCGAUCUACAAGCUUACAAAAUCUUCAGGGACAGGUUCCUUGCACAGUGUAAUGACGAGAGAUUUGUUGGCAAUGUGCCUGGAAUCAAUGUUGGUGAUAUCUUUUAUGCAAGGGUUGAGCUUUGCAUUAUCGGUCUUCAUCGCCCACACCGGUUAGGGAUUGAUCAUAUCAGGAAGGAGGAUGGUACUUGUAUAGCUGUUAGCAUCGUGGCAUAUGCACUUCUUUCUGAUGUCAAGGAUAAUUUUGAUGCCUUGGUGUAUUCUGGAUCAAGGACAGCUACAAUGAAUCAGAAGAUAGAGGGUACCAAUCUUGCACUGAAGAAGAGCAUGGAUACCAAAACACCAGUUCGUGUCAUUCAUGGUUUCACCAUUCAUGCUAAGAACAGCCAGCGGAAGAGUAUUCUUGUAUAUGGGGGUUUAUAUCUAGUUGAGAAAUACUGGAGGGAGAAAGAAAGCGAAGAUCGUUAUGUUUAUAUGUUCCGAAUGAGAAGAAUGGCAGGUCAGAAACACAUUGACAUUGACGCAAUUAUGAAAUCAGAACAGGCUGAGCCAUAUGAUGGUGUUAUAAUGAAAGAUAUAUCCCAAGGGUUGGAGAGGAUCCCAGUAUCUGUUUUGAACUCAAUAUCUGAUGAGCAUCCAAUGCCCUAUAUCUACAUGUCUCGCCUGAAAUACCCCCCUAACUAUCAGCCAGCUCCUCCAGCAGGCUGUGCUUGUGUAGGCGGGUGCUCAGACUCCAAACUGUGUGCCUGUGUAGUGAAGAAUGGUGGGGAGAUCCCUUUCAAUGAUAAAGGCUGUAUCAUAGCAGCAAAACCUCUUGUUUAUGAGUGUGGACCUUCUUGCAAGUGUCCUCCUACAUGUCAUAACAGAGUUGGCCAGAAAGGCAUCAAAUUUCGGCUGCAAGUGUUCAAGACCAAAUCGAUGGGUUGGGGCGUGAAAACUCUCGACUAUAUACCAUCUGGAAGCUUCGUCUGUGAAUACAUUGGGGAAGUGCUGGAUGAUGAAGAAGCACAGAAAAGGAUGACUGAUGAGUACCUAUUUGCUAUAGGGCAUAAUUAUUAUGAUGAAUCCCUUUGGGAGGGCCUAUCAAGAUCUAUACCCUCGCUUCAGAAUGGUCCGGGUAAAGAUGAAGAAGCUGGUUUUGCUGUUGAUGCAUCAAAGAUGGGGAACUUUGCAAAAUUUAUUAAUCAUAGCUGCACCCCCAACCUCUAUGCACAAAAUGUUCUCUAUGAUCAUGAUGACAAGAGUGCUCCUCAUAUCAUGUUCUUUGCCUGCGAAGAUAUUCCACCCGGUCAAGAGCUAGUAUACCACUACAACUAUGCCAUAGAUCAGGUUCAUGAUGAGAAUGGUAACAUCAAGAAGAAGAAAUGCCUUUGUGGCUCUGUGGAGUGUGAUGGCUGGUUGUAUUAG
Molecule: ribosomal RNA, 3027 nt
Filed under: Triticum aestivum (bread wheat)
Lineage: Eukaryota; Viridiplantae; Streptophyta; Magnoliopsida; Poales; Poaceae
Description: partial small subunit ribosomal RNA
Source: RNAcentral